This 1518-nucleotide long non-coding RNA is filed under the name Homo sapiens (human). Its description in RNAcentral is "HSALNT0127934". The record is from RNAcentral. Lineage: Eukaryota; Metazoa; Chordata; Mammalia; Primates; Hominidae.
UUCCAGAUAGAGUACCAAAGAUAUAAUUUGAAGAGAGGAAACACAGUAACACUGCAUUUUUAUAUAAAAUAUGAUACCUUUUGAUUGGAAAAAUAACCAGCCAAAAAUAAAAAGAAAACAAUUCAUGUAUCUCAAAAAUAAAAAUUCCAUUUAAACUGAACAGAACAAAGAGCUCUCUUCAAAAAAUGCACUUGUGAUUAUAUUCACUAACGUACAAGUUCCUCUUACUUCGCCCACACUCACUAAGGCUAAGGCAGUCCAAUCCAAUAAAGUUAUUACACUUCCUUUCCUGCUUCAGCCUAGCAUCUUUUGGUUUUGUCUUAAUGUCAUCAGGGCCAUGUAGAAUGAAGGUUUAUGUAAUAACUAACUAUGCUGUCAAGUAUUUUUGCCCCUGACAGUUUUGUCUGUUUGUUUGUUUUGUUUUUGUUUUUUUGAGAUGAAGUUUCACUUUUGUUGCCCAGGCUGGAGUGCAAUGGUACAAUCUCAGCUCACUGUGACCUCCACCUCUCAGGUUCAAGAGAUUCUCCUGCCUCAGCCUCCCAAGGAGCUGGGAUUACAGGCAUCCACCAUCAAGCCCAACUAAUUUUUUGUAUUUUUAGUAGAAACUAAAAAUUUCACCACGUUGGCUAGGCUGGUCUCAAACUACUGACGUCAGCUGAUCCACAAGCCUCGGCCUCCCAAAGUGCUGGGAUUACAGGCUUGAGCCACCGCGCCUGCCCCCUGAAAGUUUUUAAUUUUAAUUUAGAGUUUCCUUUUGGUUGUUUCUCCAUCCAUAAUUUUCACUCUUGCUCUGAUGUGAUGUCACCUUUUACUUUGUUUUUGAAAAAUUUCAGGUAGUUUUUAUCUUCAUUCCUUGACCUCAAGUAUCAAGACUUUUAAAAUAUGAUCUGUCAAUUAUCUCUUUAGGAAUCACCAUGUUCUUUAAUGCUGUCCUGUCCUUAGUUUAACAUGCAUUGCUUGAGAUACCAUUCAGGUACUUCCUGUUUCAACCUUGACGAUAAUGAUACAAAAAGAUAACAACUAUUUUCACUGCGAACAACAAUAUACUUUGUUUUUAUAUCAUUGCAUGUUUUAGGUUCCCAAGAGGUUGCUUUGUCAGAAUGUAUCCCUUCAUUGGAAAUUAAAAUUUACAUUUUUUUAAAUGUUUUAAGAGACAGGGUCUUGCUCUGCCAUCCAGGCUGAAGUGCAGUGGCACAAUCAUGGCUCAUUGCAGCCUUGAACUCCUUGGCUCCAGUAAUCCUUGGUAGCCUUGACCUCUCAAAGUGCCAGAAUUCCAGGUGUGAGUCACCACGCCCAGCCUACCUUUAAUAAAUAAACUUUAAUUUCUUAUUUUACAAUAAUGUUAGGUUUUAUAUUUUCAGCCCAUUGGAAACUACCCAGUGCUUUGAAAAAUACUUAUCAUUUACUCAGAAUAUGUCUCUUAAUAGAAUAUUAAAAAAUACAUUUCCUAAAAAUCUCACAUUUAUUUUUUAGAAAAUGUUCACCCUGUAUCAAAACGGUUACAAAAUACAAAGUAAG